Molecule: long non-coding RNA, 265 nt
Filed under: Malus domestica (apple)
Lineage: Eukaryota; Viridiplantae; Streptophyta; Magnoliopsida; Rosales; Rosaceae
Description: long non-coding RNA (MDOM_LNC015583)
Source: RNAcentral
UAAUGGGUGUAGUGGGUGAGUGUUUGGUAAUGAGUGGAUGUAAUGAGUUUGGUAAUGAGUGGAUGUAUUGGGUUUGGUAAUGAGUAGAUGUAAUGGGUGUAGUGGAUGAGUGUUUGGUAACGAGUGGAUGUAAUGGUGUAGUUGAGAGUGUUUGGUAAUGAGUGGAUGUAAUGGGUGUAGUGGAUGAAUGUUUGGAGUUGUGGGUCAACACACUUGCACACACACAUGCUGAUUUCUAGCCUUCAAAUCUUCAAAAAUGUCCAUC